This is a non-coding RNA of Ictidomys tridecemlineatus (thirteen-lined ground squirrel), 709 nucleotides long. The record is from RefSeq and is a predicted model, not a curated record. Lineage: Eukaryota; Metazoa; Chordata; Mammalia; Rodentia; Sciuridae.
ACCGAGACUGUAAUUUCGGUGCUAGCCUGAAUGGGUUCAUUUCUUUUUAUUAACUCCAGCACCCGGGUUUUAGGCAAGUUGGCUAUUGUUCGAGCCACGCUCCUCUCCUCUCCACUCCCCACGCUUUGAAGCAGCAGGAACAGCCGGAAGGAGAUGGCAUUGAACAGCAGAAGUGGCUGCUGUGAGACCAGAUCACCCCGCAGAAGGAUGGAGACUGGAGCUGCCUGGGGGGGACGGAGGCGGAGGCUCUCCGCCUGGAACCCAGCACUGCUCAGGGACGGGCACCGGUGCCCUCCUGGGCUCACCUGCCUGCUGGUGUCCUACAAUUAGAAAGGGACCUGGCCAGCCUCCCAGAUCCUCCUGCGUAUGCCAGAGUUUGCUGAGAGCUGGACCAGGCUCCCGAGACACCGGCUGCUGGCUGGAGCUGCUCUAGAGUGAACUUGUCCCUGAGAAUCCGUAGACCCGAGCACCCUGCCAGGAGAAGGAGGGCAUGACGUCAUCACCCAGGGAAGGAGCGUGGCCUCUCUGGGCAUGGGUUUCCUCAUCCGCAUCUCGAUCUCCCACAAGGACAGGGACCAUAUUGCUCUUUUCCUACCUCCCUCCCUGGCAUGUAGCAGACCUUCAGGGUUUUUUUGUCUGUUGUUUGUUUGUUUACUGCUGAGGAUUCAAAGCAUUUUUAAAGGAAUGAAUAAAUGAAAGACAAAAGAGA